Molecule: long non-coding RNA, 1158 nt
Organism: Fundulus heteroclitus (mummichog)
Lineage: Eukaryota; Metazoa; Chordata; Actinopteri; Cyprinodontiformes; Fundulidae
Exons: 2
Source: RefSeq, a predicted model, not a curated record
AAUUCCCCGGGAUCUGGUUUGUAAUGCCCUUUUAUUUCCGCACCCAUAAGCCGAGCAAAAGUCGGGCAUCCUGGGACGGAACUCUGGAAGUUUGCUGACUGUCAAUAUAAAAUCGAAAUUAUGUAUUAAGUUAGACAAUCAAUCUUUUAAUUCAAUCAAUUGGUCCCAUGUAGCCCCAAAAGGGGUGACGUCUUCAGUCAGCUAAUUUAUCUGGAAAUCGGUUGCGAAUUCACCGGAUUCAGAGUGUCUGAAAACAUAAAGCACCACUUACCUGAACUGACUUGUAUUCUGUCUGACUGCCGCUUGGUCUGACCUAAGAUGGCCGCUCUGUCGGCACGCCUCUCAACCGAGAACGCGGCGUCUACGUAUUCAUGUCUGUGUCCAGGACUGAUUUUAGGCAGCCAUAGCAAAGAUGGGACCCAGCGCAACUACCUCAGGAGACGACAACAUGUUUAAAUCUAACGGGGGCCCCGUUAACCUGCCGAAACACUCCUACUGGCUAGACCUGUGGGUGUUCCUGCUUUUUGACAUCGCUUUAUUCCUCUUCGUGUAUUUCAUCGUCCCGUAAAGAGAGGAUCAUCCCUCUGACCGGCCAGCCACCAAGGAGCGCCGCUCAUACUCUUCUGUGAGAAGGCCAGCCCAGCUUUGACUGAAUUUAACCGUGCGGCAGCUUCCCCCAGCUCGGUCUAAAGAUGCACACGUUUUACGGGCGUGGCGUCCUGUCUUCAUAUCGGACUUCAGCCUAGAAGCUUUACACUAACUUGUAUGGAUUCCUGCUGUUGAUGUCAGGGAGAUGACAAUUUCAAGUGCUUGUUUUACUGAGAACUUAAAACUCCUCAACUGACUUCCAUCCUCAAGACUCAGAAAAAGUUUCUGAAUGAUUUAAGAAGCUUCGGUUAUCAUUGUAAAUGUUAUAUAAACUCUGAUUUUGUGUCUCCAUCUUGUCUGAGAUGAACAGAUAACCUUCAGGAAAUGUGGGGGUUGUCAUGGUAAGCCAAAGGCUAAACUGGUGUUGAGGCCGAUGAUGAUAUGAGCAGAGAAACGUAUUUGAACACCAUAUGAAACAAUGUGUUUAUGCGGUGCAACUCCACCUAAACUCUUGGCAAUUUGCACAUGGACGAGUCAUGCACAAAUAAAGUGUUCUUCCUCCCAGCUAAA